This 72-nucleotide transfer RNA is filed under the name Caudoviricetes sp. Its description in RNAcentral is "tRNA-Gln". It matches the Rfam family "tRNA". Rfam says of the family: Transfer RNA (tRNA) molecules are approximately 80 nucleotides in length. Their secondary structure includes four short double-helical elements and three loops (D, anti-codon, and T loops). The record is from RNAcentral. Lineage: Duplodnaviria; Heunggongvirae; Uroviricota; Caudoviricetes.
CGGAGGUUCGUUCAAUGGUAAGGACAUAGGACUUUGAAUCCUAAAAUAACAGUUCAAAUCUGUUACCUCCUG